RNAcentral lists this ribosomal RNA (580 nucleotides) under uncultured bacterium. Its description in RNAcentral is "partial 16S ribosomal RNA". It matches the Rfam family "Bacterial small subunit ribosomal RNA", at positions 355 to 926 of the family's 1533-position model. The record is from RNAcentral.
UGGGGAAUUUUGGACAAUGGGCGAAAGCCUGAUCCAGCAAUGCCGCGUGUGUGAAGAAGGCCUUCGGGUUGUAAAGCACUUUUGUCCGGAAAGAAAUCCUUGGCUCUAAUACAGUCGGGGGAUGACGGUACCGGAAGAAUAAGCACCGGCUAACUACGUGCCAGCAGCCGCGGUAAUACGUAGGGUGCAAGCGUUAAUCGGAAUUACUGGGCGUAAAGCGUGCGCAGGCGGUUUGCUAAGACCGAUGUGAAAUCCCCGGGCUCAACCUGGGAACUGCAUUGGUGACUGGCAGGCUAGAGUAUGGCAGAGGGGGGUAGAAUUCCACGUGUAGCAGUGAAAUGCGUAGAGAUGUGGAGGAAUACCGAUGGCGAAGGCAGCCCCCUGGGCCAAAUACUGACGCUCAUGCACGAAAGCGUGGGGAGCAAAACAGGAUUAGAUACCCUGGUAGUCCACGCCCUAAACGAUGUCAACUAGUUGUUGGGGAUUCAUUUCCUUAGUAACGUAGCUAACGCGUGAAGUUGACCGCCUGGGGAGUACGGUCGCAAGAUUAAAACUCAAAUGAAUUGACGGGGUCAUAGCU